GGUGGAGCAGCCCGGUAGCUCGUCAGGCUCAUAACCUGAAGGUCGUAGGUUCAAAUCCUACCCCCGCAACCA
This 72-nucleotide transfer RNA is filed under the name Rhodospirillaceae bacterium. RNAcentral describes it as "tRNA-Met". It matches the Rfam family "tRNA". Rfam says of the family: Transfer RNA (tRNA) molecules are approximately 80 nucleotides in length. Their secondary structure includes four short double-helical elements and three loops (D, anti-codon, and T loops). Further hydrogen bonds mediate the characteristic L-shaped molecular structure. tRNAs have two regions of fundamental functional importance: the anti-codon, which is responsible for specific mRNA codon recognition, and the 3' end, to which the tRNAs corresponding amino acid is attached (by aminoacyl-tRNA synthetases). tRNAs cope with the degeneracy of the genetic code in two manners: having more than one tRNA (with a specific anti-codon) for a particular amino acid; and 'wobble' base-pairing, i.e. permitting non-standard base-pairing at the 3rd anti-codon position. Lineage: Bacteria; Pseudomonadati; Pseudomonadota; Alphaproteobacteria; Rhodospirillales; Rhodospirillaceae. RNAcentral also lists the same sequence under 1 other name. The record is from RNAcentral.